RNAcentral lists this ribosomal RNA (411 nucleotides) under uncultured microorganism. RNAcentral describes it as "bacterial SSU rRNA". It matches the Rfam family "Archaeal small subunit ribosomal RNA", at positions 330 to 745 of the family's 1478-position model. The record is from RNAcentral.
GUGCAGCAGGCGAGAAACCUCCGCAAUGCGGGCAACCGCGACGGGGGACCCCAGUGCCGUGGCAUCGCCACGGCUUUUCCGGAGUGUAAAAGCUCCGGGAAUAAGGGCUGGGCAAGGCCGGUGGCAGCCGCCGCGGUAAUACCGGCGGCCCGGGUGGUGGCCGCUAUUAUUGGGCCUAAAGCGUCCGUAGCCGGGCCUGUAAGUCCCUGGCGAAAUCCCACGGCUCAACCGUGGGGCUUGCUGGGGAUACUGCAGGCCUUGGGACCGGGAGAGGCCGGGGGUACCCCUGGGGUAGGGGUGAAAUCCUAUAAUCCCAGGGGGACCGCCAGUGGCGAAGGCGCCCGGCUGGAACGGGUCCGACGGUGAGGGACGAAGGCCAGGGGAGCGAACCGGAUUAGAUACCCCUGUAGU